UAAGGUGCAUCUAGUGCAGUUAGUGAAGCAACUUCGAAUCUACUGCCCUAAAUGCCCCUUCUGGC
RNAcentral lists this microRNA precursor (65 nucleotides) under Oryctolagus cuniculus (rabbit). RNAcentral describes it as "microRNA ocu-mir-18b precursor". Its record names the gene ocu-mir-18b. It matches the Rfam family "mir-17 microRNA precursor family", at positions 11 to 80 of the family's 80-position model. From Rfam's summary of the family: This family represents the microRNA (miRNA) precursor mir-17, family, which includes mir-20, mir-91, and mir-103. miRNAs are transcribed as ~70nt precursors (modelled here) and subsequently processed by the Dicer enzyme to give a ~22nt product. In this case the mature sequence comes from the 3' arm of the precursor. The record is from miRBase by way of RNAcentral. Lineage: Eukaryota; Metazoa; Chordata; Mammalia; Lagomorpha; Leporidae.